RNAcentral lists this long non-coding RNA (1347 nucleotides) under Capsicum annuum. Its description in RNAcentral is "long non-coding RNA (CANN_LNC000424)". Lineage: Eukaryota; Viridiplantae; Streptophyta; Magnoliopsida; Solanales; Solanaceae. The record is from RNAcentral.
CGUAAUUCUAUUUUUAAGAAAAUCUACUAGGUGAGGUGUCUAUUAGUUAGUCUUAUAAAUUUUCUCAAUUUAAAACGUCAUUACACAUGUAGCAAAUAAAGAAAUGAACAAAAUUAAAAUUAAUGAUCAAAUAAUUGGGAAUACAGCGUGUCCUAACUUGAUACUACAAUGUAAAUAAAUAAAAUGUGCUAUGUAUCAUCAAGCCUAGUUUCUUCAACGAAAAAGUUUGUAGCAGCAAGUUUUGGCCAAUUUAUUGGCUCUUGGCUCUGGGUGCAGACACUGCCCUUCGCAUGCCCUGCUUUUGCAAUACGUUCUUGUGUCUUUCAUGCCCUUCUGUGUUGCACGCGCACCAAUUUAAAUAGUACCAAAUCAUCACCUAUUGAAAAAGGCUCAACAAAAUAUUGAAGUUUAUCCAAGUAGAAACACAAGCAUGACAUGUUGAAAUAGGCUAGAUCUCUGGAGUAGUAGCAAUCAUCUAUUUGUACCGAUUUUUUUACCAAACCAUUUUCUAUAAUAGUAGAGAAUCAAUAGUAGAGAGGUCAACAUCAACUCUGGGCCAUCUCUCCAUGCCAUACAAGUUCCAUCCGUCGACAAUCUCUCAAUAGAAUGAGCAACAAGUGUUAGCAUAUGUACAUACAUAAAUCAUCAACACAUAAAUCAACUACAUAAUGGUGUAACCUGCAAAAGACGACACAAAGUUAGUAGUAAAAGUCCCCCUCCUGAAUGUAUUCGCCUUUUGGAUAUUAAUUUACAAGAUAGGGGUUAUAGCAAAAAUAAAUCAAAACGUACAAAACAAAAUCAAAUUUCUUCUUGUUUAUAGAUUUGUAACUUUUACAUGAUAUGAGUACUGUAUCAUUUGUUUCUCGUAAACAAGUUCAUCCUCUUAUUAAUUUCAAAGAGGGUCUAACUAUGGAACGCAAUAUCCCAUGAUAGCCUCUUAUUCAAAUAGCCCAAGAGUGGAGAAUCCCCUAUCAAGGUAGUGAUAGUUAUCGGAGCAAUAAGAACGGGAAAAUCUUAACACUCCAUAGAUCUAACCAACCAUUUACGGUAGAUGUUUGUGAAUAGUGACGAAUACAAGUGCAUGAAACGACUUGAUAUAUAGUCAAGACUAGGUGACGGAGGAUGUAGGUAAUCUUUCCUAGAGAAUGAUGGUGGCCCUACAUCAAGACCUUUGUACACUUAUAUUUAUCAAUUUUUCACAACCACUACCGACAAUGAAUCAGCCAGAUCUAUGGAAAGGCUAGACUUACCCAUCCAGUUGCACCCACAACAAUCACCCCUUGUAAUCUUUUUAUCCACAUGAAAAUAUGUAAAAGAAACCAGUUUUUCGGACGACAAAAAAUCGAC